Molecule: RNA transcript, 3717 nt
Organism: Balaenoptera musculus (blue whale)
Lineage: Eukaryota; Metazoa; Chordata; Mammalia; Artiodactyla; Balaenopteridae
Exons: 9
Source: RefSeq, a predicted model, not a curated record
CCCAGGGUCCCGCUUCGGGGAGCCGAAUGGGUGGGGACGCCAGCCACGUGGGGACGGCCCCAGGGGCCGACGAGCUGGACUCCGACAGGGUGAGGCUGAGGUGCCCGAGGGCCGCCCGCGUGCCCACGUCCUCCUCCCUGCGCCUUCCCUUUCCUGCCUGUGCCCCGCUCCGCGCUCUGUGUCCACCCCCGGAGGAGCUCGGGAAGCCUGGCGGGCGUCUGCGCUCCAGCCUGGGGGCUGCGCGCGCGAGGAUGCUGGGGCUGCCGCGGCUGGACCAGACCUGGACCAGCCCCGGCCCAGCGAAGCCACGCUUGAACCCUUGAGAGGUGAACAGGGCAGGUGCCUGGCGAGGGCCAUCCUGCCGAGCAGGGAGAGCCCAGGCGGCACGCGCGCCCCCAGCCCACGAGCCACCAGGGCGGCACAGGAGGUGCCAGACGCCGACUCAGCCGCGUCGAAUACGUGCUCAACCGAAGAGGUAAAUCGUUCCAGGGACGCUGCCGCGUUCUUUUCAGAAGGCAGGGCACUGGAGCAAUCGCCGUGCUGCCUCGUUUUGCCUGGGCUCUGUAGGUCAUUUACUUUAUUCCGUUGGAUCAUAUGCCAUUGAAACAUGCACCGUGGCAACCCCUGCACGGUUUAUGCUCCUUUGGACUCUCUUCAGGUGGCAACUUGCCCCAUAACAGGGCGGGGACAGAGGGAAGAGCUUAGACGGGGAGCAAACCGAAAGAGCCCACGUCACCUCGGAACUCAUCGCAGGGGAGCCAGGCUCGGUCCCACGGACGGAGCCUGAAGGAUGGCGCCAGCUCCAUCCUUCCGGGAGGACUUGAUUCUACAGCCCGAGGCCCCUCCAAAGACGUUUGGACCAAAGCUGGUGGUGGCAGCACCUCCUACUCCCACCUUGACUGCAACCUGCAUCCUCACCUCCAUGUGACCACGUCCUUGGACUAGAUUCCCUCCAGAUUUCUCCCCAGCGCCAUCCAACCCGUAGCUGCAGCUCCCACCUCUUCACCAGACCCAAUACCACCCCUAGCUCUCAAAAGAAGUUCUACAGGCAAACUUUCCCAAGAAUUCUAGAAACAUAGUAAGUCCCUAGUCCCCCAAAGAAUCGAGGAAAUUUUCUUCAGGUCUUUGGUGGAAAAACUUCACUGCCGUAGUCAAAUCAUUUACUUGCUUCUCAUCUCUCUCCUCUUGCUAGAAAGUUCGUGCCAAGAAAGCAGCACGUCUCUUCUGCUCCACUUCUGUAUCCCUGGGGCCUGGAAGGUGCCUGGCAUAAAGCAGAGCCUCAUACUAUCUGCCGAGGGACAGAGGAACCUUAUCUUGGCUUGGGUCAGGUUCAACAGCCUCAUGCAUUUGAGACCACGCCACCCGUUUGAGACGUGGCCCUCCACACAAAACGCAGCGGUGCGAUGCUGCCUCUGAACUUGGGUGAACUUGAGAGAAUCAGAGGGAAGCUGUCCCCUUAAUUUCCCAUAACAAACAAAGAGACUUUGCUUGUUAACUCGGGCCAUCCAUUAUCAGUGUCGCUGUCCUGCUCUCCUAGGCAGAUGAAAUGCACUUGGCAGACAGGGACGGGCGUCUGUAGAACAUCUGCAGACCUUCCAGCAGGAGUUAAUAAGCCAUACUAAUCAGGUGGACGGAAGCCUAAUCUCCACAUGAAGAAUAGGACAUCUGACAUAUCAUAACGAAGAGUUAAUCUUAUCCAGGUUCAGAGCCAGAAACCUGUCAUAUGAAAUCCCAGCGAAGACCGACAUUCUUUCCAGGUGCCCAGCACACUGAUGGAAAGUGUCCCAGGCUUCAAGCUUCAAGCCUGCAAAUUUAACUCCUACCCUUUCCAACCAUCAGAAGAGGAAAAGCUGCGAGAGAGCUGUGAACAGAGCAGUCACAGCUGCCUGACCUCGAAGGGAGCAGUGGAUCCAAGAAACCAACCACGAGGCAAAAUCUGGGGGUCCACACCCUCCAGUCAUGCACCCCCUACGGAGGUGCUGCUCAGGCUGGAAGCUUGCAAACGAGGAAGUGCACCAGGGGCCAGGUGGCGACUGCCUUGCUCGCCUAACUAGCAUCUAACCAGUACCCACUGCGUGCCAGCUCCGAGCCAGCCACUGGGCAGAGAAAUGGACCCCCGCCCCGGGGGGCUCACGGUCCAGUGGGGAGACACACCUGACACGGGGGUCCCCCCUACUCUGAGCUCUGGGGGUGUCAGGGUGCUUCCCACCUGCCUGCCUGAACUUCCUGUCCCAGCCCGUCACCUGCCAGCCCGCGGUGGGCAAGCCUCCAGCUGCCGUGUCACCUGACUGCUUCUCGGGACGCCUCCUGGUCUUCAGGCUUCCCUAGGGCCCCGGCCAGAAGAGGAGAUGGUCCCCGUGUCACGGCCCAGAUGGCCCUGUUGGCGGUCCUCCCCGACCCUUGGUGGCUGAGAUCCGCAAAGCUGGGACUAAAUGGAGAGGGAAACUGUUACAGAGAAAGAGGAAUCAGGCAAGAGGGAGAGGAUGACGCGUCACGGCCGUUGCCAGGAGCAGCAGUGAUGGCCGGUCGCCAAGUGUCACACGGGAUCAGGGUGGGCAGGACGCUGCACGCGGACCCGCACAACCCCCGAGGCUGCCAACCAGACAGCAGCGCGCAGUGUGGCCGCAAGCCCGGCCUGGGCCCAGGAACAAAGGCAGGAGUGUGACAAAUGGACAGAGCCCUCUGCCUAAGCCAGGUUGGAGCCGUAGUUAGAAAACAGAAAGUUUCGCAUUAUUUAAGCCUGGCCACCGCACAUGCCGAGACCUGCGUCACUUCGAACUGCAGCUUGAAGGGGUCAAACGGGGACUUCUUUAGAGCGACUGAAGUUUCUCGCUGUUACACUUUAAACACAGUCUCGCCAGGUGUCCUGGGAGCAGGACGAAUUAAGAUACUCUCGGCCAGUGAAUGAAAUCCAGGGUUUGGAAUCCGAAGAGACAGAAGCCAGAUCAGCGUCAGGCAGCUGGACGGGCAGAAAAUUGUCCCCUUUCUGGUGUUUUCUUUUCAUCCACAGACUUUCUUACAUGUCCUCAGGCAUCUGUCACUUCCAGGGACCAUGAGGCUUGGCGGGAGAGAUGCAGUCCUUGACGCCAGGUUCUGAAGAUCAGGGAACAUGCGUUCAUUGCUGUUGUUUUGAAAACCAGCUGAGCUUCUGUGCGGCUCGGCCCCCCUGGGUGCUGGCUGGAGGGGACUCGGGGGGCCGGAGUGUAUGCUCAGCCUGUGAUCCCGCAGCCCUGCCUGCCCAGCCCCAGGGACCAGUUCCCUCGCAGUCGGGGGACAUUCCUGGGGGGAUUCCUGAAUUUUCCUGGGCAUCUACAACUGCAGUCACCCGCUCACAAUUGUCAUUUCUGCUCCCACCUUGUAAACUUUCGCAGCCAAGCAUUUGCCAGAGCCCUGGGGCCACCUGCGUUAACCUCCAGCGAAGCAAGGACAUGCAGGGAGGCAUGGACUUGAGGUUCUAGUUUACAUGUUUUCGAAUAAAUGUUAAAACAAAAACGUAACUACUGAAAUUAAAAAUGCUUCUCUGUGCAACACCAAGGUCACCCAGCUUGCCUUGAAUGGACCGUCAUCACACUUUGGGACGAAGAAAGUAAACAUGACGGAACCGUGACCAGAGCCAAAUAAAUUUCAUCUUUGUUAACAAAAUAAAUUGACUAGGACUUUAAAGAAUUAUUUCCUCAUGGCAUUCCUUUAAAACUUAAUUUCUGGGGCUUCCCUGGU